Molecule: unclassified non-coding RNA, 328 nt
Filed under: soil metagenome
Description: partial contains 5.8S ribosomal RNA, internal transcribed spacer 2, and large subunit ribosomal RNA
Rfam family: 5.8S ribosomal RNA (bases 1-120)
Source: RNAcentral
GAUGAAGAACGCAGCGAAAUGCGAUAAGUAAUGUGAAUUGCAGAAUUCAGUGAAUCAUCGAAUCUUUGAACGCACAUUGCGCCCCUUGGUAUUCCGAGGGGCAUGCCUGUUCGAGCGUCAUUAUAACCCUCAAGCUCAGCUUGGUGUUGGGGCCUGCUGCACUGGCAGCCCUUAAAAUUAGUGGCGGCGCCAUCUGGCUCUAAGCGUAGUAAUUCUUCUCGCUAUGGAGUCCUGGUGGAUGCUUGCCAUCAACCCCCAAUUUUUCUAUGGUUGACCUCGGAUCAGGUAGGGAUACCCGCUGAACUUAAGCAUAUCAAUAAGCGGAGGA